Long non-coding RNA from Pseudoliparis swirei, 760 nucleotides. RefSeq lists it as uncharacterized. NCBI's taxonomy places the organism in Eukaryota, Metazoa, Chordata, Actinopteri, Perciformes, Liparidae. The transcript is spliced from 3 exons. The record is from RefSeq and is a predicted model, not a curated record.
GGAAAUGUCCCGUAACUUCCGGUAGCUUGUAAUCAGGAAGUAAACAAGAGCAUGGCUCAGAGACGCUGUCUUCAUUAGUUUUGUAAUCCAGUGGAAUCUGCAUACAUCUUGUACCUUUUGAUAGCAUCGUUGUUUUACACUUUCCUAUGUCAAUAAACCUGUGGACAACGGACAAGGGUCUUCAGAGUCAUGAUGUCAGGAAGGAGUUUGUCUAACUGCCGAGGUGUAUAACAGCACAUAUACUGAGGGCAGCACACUUAUCAUUAGAGAGCCUGAGACGCUGCCAGCUGCUUGCAUGUUUGUUUGUACAUGUGUGUCUGCUCAGUCGAGCUUGUGUUCCUGGUACGUUCCAGCCAAGCGGUCAAUUUAGUAAUUAAUUAACCAAUGUAGCACUAAUUACUCCAAUGAAAUCUAACAUUUCUUCAAUGCUCACACACUGGUGUGUCCCACCCCUCUUUCCUCUGAGCGACACUCUGGCAUUGCUCUUGCUUCAUUCGUCUUCCUUUUUGUCUCUAACCUUGACGAGGACAGAAAGCGCUCCCGCCCGUGUCAUCACCGCCAUCAUCAUCCUAAUGAGAGUGGGAGUCUCUGCUUCAGGCUGCAUUGAUAUACCACAGGCAAACUGCUGACGGGAGAUGAGGCGCUACAUCAAUAGAGAUGGCAGCAUAAAUAAGAAAACAACACCCCCCCAGUCCAUAAACUGCAUACAUUUCAAUCUAUUUUCUUCAGAUGAAUAAACGCCGUGCUUAUGAUCAACAUA